This 61-nucleotide transfer RNA is filed under the name Raivuna sinica. RNAcentral's name for it is "tRNA-Ala". The record is from RNAcentral. Lineage: Eukaryota; Metazoa; Arthropoda; Insecta; Hemiptera; Dictyopharidae. RNAcentral also lists the same sequence under 1 other name.
AGGGUUGUAGUUAAUUAUAACAUUUACAUUGCAAGUAAAAAUUAUUGAAAAAUCUUCCUUA